This 27-nucleotide ribosomal RNA is filed under the name Musa acuminata subsp. burmannicoides. RNAcentral describes it as "partial 26S ribosomal RNA". Lineage: Eukaryota; Viridiplantae; Streptophyta; Magnoliopsida; Zingiberales; Musaceae. The record is from RNAcentral.
CGACCCCAGGUCAGGUGGGGCUACCCG